Molecule: ribosomal RNA, 424 nt
Filed under: uncultured bacterium
Lineage: Bacteria
Description: partial 16S ribosomal RNA
Rfam family: Bacterial small subunit ribosomal RNA
Source: RNAcentral
AAUAUUGGACAAUGGGCGAAAGCCUGAUCCAGCCAUGCCCCGUGUGUGAAGAAGGUCUUCGGAUUGUAAAGUUUUUUAUGUUGGGAGGUAGGGCAGUUAGGUAAUACCUUGCUGUCUUGGCGUUACCUACAGAAUGAGCAACUGCUAAGUUGGGUCCAGCAGUCGCGGUAAUAGGAAGGGUGAAAGCGUUAAUCGUAAUUACUGGGCGUAAAGCGCGCGUAGGUGGUUUGUUAAGUUGGAAGUGAAAGCCCCGGGCUGAACCUGGGAACUGCUUUCAAAACUGGCAAGCUAGAGUAUAGCAGAGGGUGGUGGAAUUUCCUGUGUAGCGGUGAAAUGCGUAGAUAUAGGAAGGAACACCAGUGGCGAAGGCGACCACCUGGGCUAAUACUGACACUGAGGUGAGAAAGCGUGGGGAGCAAACAGG